CGCGUAGGUGGUUUGUUAAGUUGGAUGUGAAAGCCCCGGGCUCAACCUGGGAACUGCAUCCAAAACUGGCAAGCUAGAGUACGGUAGAGGGUGGUGGAAUUUCCUGUGUAGCGGUGAAAUGCGUAGAUAUAGGAAGGAACACCAGUGGCGAAGGCGACCACCUGGACUGAUACUGACACUGAGGUGCGAAAGCGUGGGGAAGCAAACA
This 208-nucleotide ribosomal RNA is filed under the name uncultured bacterium. RNAcentral's name for it is "partial 16S ribosomal RNA". It matches the Rfam family "Bacterial small subunit ribosomal RNA", at positions 568 to 774 of the family's 1533-position model. The record is from RNAcentral.